This 481-nucleotide ribosomal RNA is filed under the name uncultured bacterium. RNAcentral's name for it is "partial 16S ribosomal RNA". It matches the Rfam family "Bacterial small subunit ribosomal RNA", at positions 30 to 506 of the family's 1533-position model. The record is from RNAcentral.
AUUGAACGCUGGCGGCAUGCUUUACACAUGCAAGUCGAACGGCAGCGCGGGGCAACCUGGCGGCGAGUGGCGAACGGGUGAGUAAUACAUCGGAACGUACCCAGAAGUGGGGGAUAACGUAGCGAAAGUUACGCUAAUACCGCAUACGUUCUACGGAAGAAAGUGGGGGACCUUCGGGCCUCAUGCUUUUGGAGCGGCCGAUGUCUGAUUAGCUAGUUGGUGAGGUAAAGGCUCACCAAGGCGACGAUCAGUAGCUGGUCUGAGAGGACGACCAGCCACACUGGGACUGAGACACGGCCCAGACUCCUACGGGAGGCAGCAGUGGGGAAUUUUGGACAAUGGGCGCAAGCCUGAUCCAGCAAUGCCGCGUGAGUGAAGAAGGCCUUCGGGUUGUAAAGCUCUUUCGUCAGGGAAGAAACGGCUGAGGAUAAUACCUUCGGCUAAUGACGGUACCUGAAGAAUAAGCACCGGCUAACUACGU